This 119-nucleotide ribosomal RNA is filed under the name Pomacea canaliculata. The record is from RNAcentral. Lineage: Eukaryota; Metazoa; Mollusca; Gastropoda; Architaenioglossa; Ampullariidae.
GCCUACGGCCACACCACGUUGAACACACCGGUUCUCGUCCGAUCACCGAAGUUAAGCAACAGCGGGCUCGGCUAGUACUUGGAUGGGUGACCGCCUGGGAACUCCGGGUGCUGUAGGCG